RNAcentral lists this long non-coding RNA (509 nucleotides) under Prunus persica (peach). RNAcentral's name for it is "long non-coding RNA (PPER_LNC007187)". Lineage: Eukaryota; Viridiplantae; Streptophyta; Magnoliopsida; Rosales; Rosaceae. The record is from RNAcentral.
AGACAUAUGGAGCAUCAUACUUACGACUGUGAACCGUUACCAACCAUCAAUAUUCACUUUUACAAUCAUUUGCUCGGUUCAGAACUAUUAUACCAACCAUCAAUACUCUAUUUUACAACUUGCUUUUGAGAGGCAACCCAACAUUUCACAUUCGAGGCAUUUAGUUCGCCGCAUAUUGACUUUAAUCCUCAACGUCGACUGCAGAGUUAUAUUGACUUUAAUUCGCCGCAUAUUAUUCGAUAUAUCUUGAACCCUUCACGGAUGGAUUUGUCGCAAUAAAAAGCUCUCCGUCACCUGGUUAAUUUGUUAAACUAAACUUUGAUGGUCUGAUGCUGCGAUCAGAUUAUGUAGCUGAGUGUCUUAAUGCUUUUGGUUAAUCAUCUUAAUGCUUUUGGUGCCUCUCUGUGUUACUACAGAGUAUCAAAUUGGUUGUGUUGACAAGUUUUUUUUCUUUUGCCGUGGCAAAUAAGCUUUUGCUUCCUGUGAUGAGUUGUGAGUUUAAAGUUUUU